CUGGCAUAGAGCUCACUGUUUGCACUUGACAACAAACUUUUUCAACACACCUCCUCCCUCUUUUCCACCAUCUUCAAUAGAUUCAGAUUCAACCUCUCUUCAACCCCUCUUCCUCUCUUUCUUGCCACCUCAAGUGACGCCAGCUCUACUGCCACUCCAUCAUCUCUGAAAAGACAUUCGCACACCGAACUAUUUCAACCCGCAGUGCUCUGCGGGGACCCAUGAUCACCCAGAGGGCCAGUGUCUUCACCAGGCCGGCUAAACACCCUCUCGGCCCUGCCGAGACCAUCAUCGGACUGGGACUGUUCGCACUGGCUAUCCUGGGACCUUCCAGUUGGAUUCUCGCCAACAUUGAGGACUACAAGAAGAAAGAUUAACUUAACAUGAACUCAUGUUAAUGGAUGUUCCGUACAUUCUGUACUCAUUCAAGACUCUCCUGGGACCAUCAUUAUUUCAAGAACUCUAUGGAACAAAUCCCCAACCUCCAUGAACUACCUCUCCAUCUCCACUGUACUCUCCUCACUCCUAGUUUACUCUUCAGCCCUUUGGAGAACCGUCUGCAAAUAGAAUGGCUGCACAACAUCUCAAGAUUUGUGAAUUUGAUUUGAACAAGGAGUAUGUUACAAUAAUAAAACAUAAUUAAACUUGAAAUAUUCUAGUCUCAAAUGUGCCUGUUUGUCAAGUGCCUCUCAAUGAUGCCAACACCACUCACUAAAUAGCUUGGAGAAAAAUAAGCUAUAAGAGAUGUCUAUUUGAUUUACUAAGCGUACUUUUGAAGUUACUAUAAAUCAUUUAACAUUCCUG
Molecule: long non-coding RNA, 804 nt
Filed under: Salmo salar (Atlantic salmon)
Lineage: Eukaryota; Metazoa; Chordata; Actinopteri; Salmoniformes; Salmonidae
Description: lncRNA (ENSSSAG00000108440.1)
Source: RNAcentral